GUAACGCGUGGGUAACCUACCCUGUACAGGGGGAUAACAGUCAGAAAUGACUGCUAAUACCGCAUAAGACCACAGCACCGCAUGGUGCAGGGGUAAAAACUCCGGUGGUACAGGAUGGACCCGCGUCUGAUUAGCUGGUUGGUGAGGUAACGGCUCACCAAGGCGACGAUCAGUAGCCGGCUUGAGAGAGUGAACGGCCACAUUGGGACUGAGACACGGCCCAAACUCCUACGGGAGGCAGCAGUGGGGAAUAUUGCACAAUGGGGGAAACCCUGAUGCAGCGACGCCGCGUGAGUGAAGAAGUAUCUCGGUAUGUAGAGCUCUAUCAGCAGGGAAGAAAAUGACGGUACCUGACUAAGAAGCCCCGGCUAACUACGUGCCAGCAGCCGCGGUAAUACGUAGGGGGCAAGCGUUAUCCGGAAUUACUGGGUGUAAAGGGGGCGUAGGUGGUAUGGCAAGUCAGAAGUGAAAACCCAGGGCUUAACUCUGGGACUGCUUUUGAAACUGUCAGACUGGAGUGCAGGAGAGGUAAGCGGAAUUCCUAGUGUAGCGGUGAAAUGCGUAGAUAUUAGGAGGUACAUCAGUGGCGAAGGCGGCUUACUGGACUGAAACUGACACUGAGGC
This 624-nucleotide ribosomal RNA is filed under the name uncultured bacterium. RNAcentral describes it as "bacterial SSU rRNA". It matches the Rfam family "Bacterial small subunit ribosomal RNA", at positions 110 to 752 of the family's 1533-position model. The record is from RNAcentral.